This is a small nucleolar RNA of Ailuropoda melanoleuca (giant panda), 132 nucleotides long. NCBI's taxonomy places the organism in Eukaryota, Metazoa, Chordata, Mammalia, Carnivora, Ursidae. The record is from Ensembl.
AAAGCAGGUUGCAAUUACAGUGCUUCCUCUUGUGGAAGUACUGACAUUAUCCUGCUGAAAGAAAAUCUGUGUCCGUCGUGUUGGAUUUUGCCUUUGUGAGGGUAAAAUCAUGACAGAUUGACAGGGACAAUU